Molecule: unclassified non-coding RNA, 268 nt
Filed under: fungal sp.
Lineage: Eukaryota; Fungi
Description: partial internal transcribed spacer region
Rfam family: Eukaryotic small subunit ribosomal RNA (bases 1-46)
Source: RNAcentral
AAGUCGUAACAAGGUAACCGUAGGUGAACCUGCGGUUGGAUCAUUAAUAAAUUCUAGAGCAGCAAGGGUCAUGGCUUAAUUGUUGUGGCUCUCUGUUGUUUCUUAACAAUUUGUGAAUCGUUUAUUGUCUCUUGCGGGUGAAGGUUUUCUCUUAACCGAGGGGGCCGACCCCGCAUGUAACUCUUAACAUUGUAAUAUAAUUAUUUGUCUUGAAAUUUAAACUUUAAAAAUUUAAAAACAACUUUUGACAACGGAUCUCUAGGCUCUC